Molecule: ribosomal RNA, 497 nt
Filed under: uncultured bacterium
Lineage: Bacteria
Description: partial 16S ribosomal RNA
Rfam family: Bacterial small subunit ribosomal RNA
Source: RNAcentral
GAUGAACGCUGGCGGCGUGCCUAAUACAUGCAAGUCGAGCGAACAGACGAGGAGCUUGCUCCUCUGACGUUAGCGGCGGACGGGUGAGUAACACGUGGAUAACCUACCUAUAAGACUGGGAUAACUUCGGGAAACCGGAGCUAAUACCGGAUAAUAUAUUGAACCGCAUGGUUCAAUAGUGAAAGACGGUUUUGCUGUCACUGAUAGAUGGAUCCGCGCCGCAUUAGCUAGUUGGUAAGGUAACGGCUUACCAAGGCAACGAUGCGUAGCCGACCUGAGAGAGUGAUCUGCCACACUGGAACUGAGACACGGUCCAGACUCCUACGGGAGGCAGCAGUAGGGAAUCUUGCGCAAUGGGCGAGAGCUUGACGGAGCAACGCCGCGUGAGUGAUGAAGGUCUUCGGAUCGUAAAACUCUGUUAUUAGGGAAGAACAAAUGUGUAAGUAACUAUGCACGUCUUGACGGUACCUAAUCAGAAAGCCACGGCUAACUACGUG